This is a long non-coding RNA of Cygnus olor (mute swan), 685 nucleotides long. RefSeq lists it as uncharacterized. The transcript has 4 exons. The record is from RefSeq and is a predicted model, not a curated record. NCBI's taxonomy places the organism in Eukaryota, Metazoa, Chordata, Aves, Anseriformes, Anatidae.
GUAUAAGGCACCUGCAUUGGCAGAUGGACAGAAAAGGAAAGAAGAUACUUUAAAUGAAUGGUACAUGUGGUUUUUUGGAAUACUGGAGGCCUACUGAGAUGAUUGCCAAAACUGCCAGCUGACAGGGAGCUAUGCAGGCUGCUAUGAGGACAUUUCAGCACCCAUUCCUUGUCUCUGCUGGGAGCACGUGAAGUGGUGUUGUGGUCGUGAAUCUGGAGGCCACUGAGACAUCUGCUGGCCCCUCUUCUGAUGCUGGGAGACCCCAGCCCCUGCUCAGAUUUAGCUCCAGUGUGCUUCAAAUCAAUGUGCAAGUGAACAUGGGAAGCAGUGGUUAAUUUUAGUUGGCACAACUGAUGCUGCAGGGAUGCAAGAGUCAUCUUUGGUGUUUCUUGUUAGUCAAAACACUCACAAAGACUGACAUGAAUAGGAAAGUGUAAAUAAAUGAAAUUACAGUACUGUGAAUUAGUUUCUAAAGAUUUUUGGAUACCCUAGACUCAGUUAACCGAAGAGUCUUGCUCCUGGCAGAGCUCAGGCUUCAUCUGCUAUUUCUGUUCGGACUGUCAGUGUAAUGUUAUUUCCGUGUCAGUAUUUUACAAGACAAGGUAUCAAAGCCUCACUUUGAGAUGAAAUUCUAAUUAUUCUUGCCCAUUUAGAAGAUAUAAAGUCAGGAAAACUCACCAGUAAU